UACAGAGGGUGCGAGCGUUGUCCGGAAUCACUGGGCGUAAAGGGCGCGUAGGCGGCCUGAUAAGUAGGGGGGUGAAAUCUUGCGGCUCAACCGCAAGGCUGCCUUCUAAACUGUCAGGCUGGAGCACGGUAGAGGCAGAUGGAAUUCCCGGUGUAGCGGUGGAAUGCGUAGAGAUCGGGGAAGAACACCAGUGGCGAAGGCGGUCUGCUGGGCCGUUGCUGACGCUGAGGCGCGACAGCGUGGGGAGCAAACAGG
Molecule: ribosomal RNA, 255 nt
Filed under: uncultured bacterium
Lineage: Bacteria
Description: partial 16S ribosomal RNA
Rfam family: Bacterial small subunit ribosomal RNA
Source: RNAcentral